Oncorhynchus tshawytscha (Chinook salmon) is the source of this 1471-nucleotide long non-coding RNA. The record is from Ensembl. Lineage: Eukaryota; Metazoa; Chordata; Actinopteri; Salmoniformes; Salmonidae.
UCUCUCCCCUUCUCUCUGUCUUUCUCUCUCCCUCUCUCUCUCUCAGUACCUCUAAAACAAUCUGUUCCCAAAGGUAGUAUACGGUCUGUCUCAGAAUACAACUGCCAUUUGGGUGCCAUUUGGGACAAUACCCUAGAUAUAAAGGCAGGCAGAUGAUGAACCUGUACUGUUAGUGGAGGUUACUGGGACUGUAGUGGAGAUAACUGGGACUGUAGUGGAGGUUACUGGGACUGUAGUGGAGGUUACUGGGACUGUACUGUUAGUGGAGGUUACUGGGACUGUAGUGGAGGCUACUGGGACUGUAGUGGAGAUUACUGGGACUGUAGUGGAUGCUACUGGGACUGUAGUGGAGAUUACUGGGACUGUAGUGGAGAUUACUGGGACUGUAGUGGAGGUUACUGGGACUGUAGUGGAGGUUACUGGGACUGUAGUAGAGAUUACUGGGACUGUAGUAAUUUCAGCUCUGUAGUGCAGCGCUAGUGGAAAGUCAGGUGGAAUUGUAUUUAUUUUUUAUUUUACUCGCAAGGCAGUUAAGGACAAAUUCUUAUUUUCAAUGACGGCCUAGGAACAGUGGGGUUUAACUGCCUUGUUCAGGGGCAGAACGACAGAUUUUUACCUUGUCAGCUCGGGGGAUUCGAUCUUGCAACCUUUUGGUUAUUAGUCCUACACUCUAACCACUAGUCUACCUGCCGCCCCUACACUCUAACCACUAGGCUACCUGCCGCCCCAAUGAAAUCCAGUAGGAAAGGUCUAACCUCAGUAAACUAACUGAAGACUGAAUAGUUUCUGUAAAUGUGUUAUCUAGCUAUAGCAGCUGGCCUUGUCCUCUCCUCACACGGUCCUUUAAUCUAAAGAGACAACAGCCACACAGCAUGUUGAUUACUUACACCAGAUGUUGCAGGAAUACCCCCCCCUCCCCCCCUGUUGAGAGAUAUUACAGUUCAAUUGAACUGAAUUGAGUGUAGUCCAUCAGAAAUCCAACCUGGCCACCUCUAACUGAUUAGGACUAAGAUACACUAAACUCAAAAAAGGAAAAGUUGCACCAACUCAAAAACAAAACAAACAAAACAACCCGAAGAAGCAGCAGAAAACGUGGUUGGAAGAUUGGUCCACUUGUAUUUACCAUCGUUGUUGUUUUUCUUCAUACUGCUUUUUGAACGUUGCAGUAGGAACAAUUGAAGACAUUGACAUCAACAAUUGACAUCAGUAGUCACGCUUGAUUGAGGUUAUUCAUUAUGCAGUAGUUAGGUUGUGAAGUAGCCGUAGUCCAAUGAUAAGUUCUCUCUCUCUCUCUUCCCGAGAAGGUAAGUCUUUCGGUCAAGUUGUCUCAAUUGCUGCUGCCAGUGGAGAUGGAGGUCAGUGAUCCAUCUUUACCCUCCCUUUCCACUGCUUUCUUCUUCGUCUCAUCUUUGAAGAAGAGGAGCGGGAACAUCCCUAAGAUGCAGCCGAUGGCAACUCCGAUGGCUUUACC